Gadus chalcogrammus (walleye pollock) is the source of this 1009-nucleotide long non-coding RNA. RefSeq lists it as uncharacterized. The transcript has 3 exons. NCBI's taxonomy places the organism in Eukaryota, Metazoa, Chordata, Actinopteri, Gadiformes, Gadidae. The record is from RefSeq and is a predicted model, not a curated record.
GAUACCUUUCGUUUGUUUUCUUUUUCGGAUGAAUCCAGCGAUAAGCGCUUUUGGAUUUAACGAUGAGGACGGACGUGGGGAAGCUGGUGCUGUUACAUCUGUUAGUGAUGGAGCUUCAUGCCGCUGACGGAUCGCAUAAGGAGUCCCAGUGUGAGGCGGGCCAGUUCCGGUGUCACAACGGGAGGUGCGUCCCGAGUCUCUGGAGGUGCGACGAUGACGACGACUGCUCGGACAACAGCGACGAGGAGAGCUGCCGAUGGUAUUGACCAGAGGAGGGGAAGGGGAGGACCAAUCGGAACAGACGGCCUUUAACCAACGGCGUCAGAAAGCUUUUCUGGCUCUCUCAACGCAGCAUUCCCUGUUUUAGGGGCAAAGGCUGCGCUCCGGCAUCGAGUGUGCUUGUCUUCGUACCAGAGGCGUGUUUAAUCCCGGACUCAUCACACAAACCAUUGAAAUUAAUCAACUGGAAGAAAAGCUUGCACUGUUUCUCCCAGCAGACUGCAUGGGACUUUACCCUUAAAAAAUAGAGUAGAGACUAGAGGGUGGAGAGCAGAGAGUGGGAGAGUGUGUUGUCGGUCCCCUACUCUAACAAAGACUGCACGCUGCUCUUCUUGAUUCAUUCACUUCUCCAUUCUUCUGAAACUCUAUAAUUGAAGAUGACACACUCUCUUCCUGUUAGAAAAGGGCCCAGACCUCAAUUGCACUGAAUCAAAUUGGUAAGAGUUAGGGGGGAUGCGCAAACCCACUUUUUCCCCAUCAAAGUGUACGGGGCUGUACAGAGCAGGUGUGUGUGUCCAGGUCCUUCCACACCCAAAAACACCAGUCACAUUAGCUAGGCGUGAGCGUAGCUUCAUACACAGCAUAUAGACGGCCAUGCUUAUCAACGCUACAAUGGGCUUCACACACCCCAGCCCCCCAACGAGUUUCCCACAAGGCGCUUUUAGGGUUGCAUUACCUGGAGCGCAUUGACCUCUUGGUCACUACGCCUGCUUCUGAGUUUUUUUUUGCA